This 696-nucleotide ribosomal RNA is filed under the name uncultured bacterium. RNAcentral describes it as "bacterial SSU rRNA". It matches the Rfam family "Bacterial small subunit ribosomal RNA", at positions 107 to 804 of the family's 1533-position model. The record is from RNAcentral.
UGCGUAACACGUGAGCAACCUACCGAACUGUGGGGGAUAGCCGGCCUAACGGCCGAGUAAUACCGCAUACGCUCUCAGUGAGGCAUUUCAUUGAGAGGAAACCUACGGGACAGAUCGAGGGGCUCGCGGCCUAUCAGCUAGUUGGCGAGGUAACGGCUCACCAAGGCAACGACGGGUAGCUGGUCUGAGAGGAUGGCCAGCCACAUUGGGACUGAGAUACGGCCCAGACUCCUACGGGAGGCAGCAGUGGGGAAUCUUGCGCAAUGGCCUAACGGCUGACGCAGCGACGCCGCGUGUGGGAUGAAGCUCUUCGGAGUGUAAACCACUGUUGCCCGGGACGAACAGCUCGAUUAAUCGAGCCUGACGGUACCGGGUGAGGAAGCACCGGCUAACUCCGUGCCAGCAGCCGCGGUAAUACGGGGGGUGCGAGCGUUGUCCGGAAUCACUGGGCGUAAAGGGCGCGUAGGUGGUUUGAUAAGGGUGUGGUGAAAGUCCGGGGCUCAACCCCGGAUCUGCCGUGCCGACUGUCAAACUCGAGGGCUGUAGAGGCAGACGGAAUUCCGGGUGUAGCGGUGGAAUGCGUAGAGAUCCGGAGGAAGACCGGUGGCGAAGGCGGUCUGCUGGGCAGUUUCUGACACUGAGGCGCGACAGCGUGGGGAGCAAACAGGAUUAGAUACCCUGGUAGUCCACGCCGUA